UUUUUUUUUUUAGUUUCUGUUUCGCUUGGGUACCACUUUACAUUGACUCUUUGAAAGAUAUACAUCAUUAUUGCCCAUCUUGUAGCACAUUACUUGGAGUUUAUCAGAAGUCGGAGACAUUAAGAAGAAACAGAGAAGAUAUUCAUGGCUAUUAUUAAAUUUUAAAUAUUCUAAAGGUAUACAAUACUAAAGUUCUCUGCCUGGCUUGGAAAUAUUUAAAUAUGUUUAUUACAGAUCUUUCUAAAGUAUAUUAAGAAAUUUUCUAAUGCAAAUAAUCUAGUUUUGAGAGAUUUGUACAUAUUCAAUAUAUUAUUGAUAAUACUAUUUUGAUAAUAUUAGUAUUACAACGUAUUGUUUGUUAAAGUGUCUAUCGGUUUUUAUAUAAUCAGGAGUCUGACAAUAAUGUAAACUUUCUUGGAGCGAUAAACAAUUUUUUGGAGCCAGCGUGUGAUGAAAUGAAAGUUUGCUCAAGAGCUUUUUGUUUUUAUGUUAAAUUUUACUAUUGGAGCUAGCUACUAAUAUAUAGAAAAAUUUUAGUCGAUCGCAAAAUGUUAGUCUUUAUAAUGGUUCUACCAUCUCGUUCAUAGCAAACAUGACUGCCUCAUUGAAGUAAUCGAUAUAUACUAGGUUCGUAAUUUUUUUUAUUACUAAGUACACAAGGACUAUUAACGUGGCUAAAUAGCGCUGAAUAAACACAAUUAUAAAUACUAUCAGUAGCAAUGAAAACUCUUACUGUCUUAUUGAUAUCCAGAAUUUAUUUUCAUUGAAAAAUUAGAAGAAAAGUACAAAAUUUGUAAUUUCUUGUAGAUGAAAUGCAUUUUAACGUGAAUUAACUCAAGGCCAUGAUGGUGAUUUUCAAACUUCAGUGUAUUAAAUAGUAAACAGAAAGCUACUGCUGUCAUUAACUCCAAAAUAAUGAAAGUGGCCCAACAGCGAAUCCUUUAGUAACCCUCCCAUGAAUUCUAACAUAUCAUCACCUGUGCAGUGUUUCGGCUUCCAGAGCAUUUACAAGACCACGCAUAAAGUGCACAUUCAUCUUUUCCUACGUUGCCAUGCUUUCUGAAAGAAAUGGUAGAAAAUACGAUGUGUAAGAAAACAAGCUCUUUAUGCUUUUCAUUACAGCGCCAUCUUGCCGUACUGUACAGCGAAAAUUGUUUGUAACGAUGGUUUCUACCACCUCGUAAAUUUUGCCAAUGUACCCUGUACAUGCAUUCUUUAUAAUAUAUAAUAAAUAUAUAUAUUUUUUUA
Non-coding RNA from Parasteatoda tepidariorum (common house spider), 1248 nucleotides. The record is from RefSeq and is a predicted model, not a curated record. NCBI's taxonomy places the organism in Eukaryota, Metazoa, Arthropoda, Arachnida, Araneae, Theridiidae.